GGGUGCGUAGCUCAGUGGGAGAGCGCUUCCUUCACACGGAAGAGGUCGCAGGUUCAAUCCCUGCCGCACCCACCA
RNAcentral lists this transfer RNA (75 nucleotides) under Thermosipho affectus. Its description in RNAcentral is "tRNA-Val". It matches the Rfam family "tRNA". From Rfam's summary of the family: Transfer RNA (tRNA) molecules are approximately 80 nucleotides in length. Their secondary structure includes four short double-helical elements and three loops (D, anti-codon, and T loops). Lineage: Bacteria; Thermotogati; Thermotogota; Thermotogae; Thermotogales; Fervidobacteriaceae. The record is from RNAcentral. RNAcentral also lists the same sequence under 1 other name.